GUAUUAGGUUGGUGUAAAAGUAAUCGCGGUUUUUGCUAUUACUUUUAAUGGGAAAAAGCACAAUUACUUUUGCACCAACCCGAUA
Chlorocebus sabaeus (green monkey) is the source of this 85-nucleotide microRNA precursor. Lineage: Eukaryota; Metazoa; Chordata; Mammalia; Primates; Cercopithecidae. The record is from Ensembl.